RNAcentral lists this ribosomal RNA (253 nucleotides) under uncultured bacterium. RNAcentral's name for it is "partial 16S ribosomal RNA". It matches the Rfam family "Bacterial small subunit ribosomal RNA", at positions 524 to 776 of the family's 1533-position model. The record is from RNAcentral.
UACGUAGGGACCGAGCGUUGUCCGGAAUCAUUGGGCGUAAAGGGUGCGCAGGCGGUCCCGCAUGUCGGGCGUGAAAUCCCCGGGCUUAACCUGGGAAUGGCGUCCGAAACUAUGGGACUGGAGUGUGGCAGAGGGAGGUGGAAUUCCACGUGUAGCGGUGAAAUGCGUAGAGAUGUGGAGGAACACCGAUGGCGAAGGCAGCCUCCUGGGCCAACACUGACGCUCAUGCACGAAAGCGUGGGGAGCAAACAGG